AACGAACGCUGGCGGCAGGCUUAACACAUGCAAGUCGAACGCCCCGCAAGGGGAGUGGCAGACGGGUGAGUAACGCGUGGGAACAUACCCUUUUCUACGGAAUAGCUCUGGGAAACUGGAAUUAAUACCGUAUACGCCCUACGGGGGAAAGAUUUAUCGGGGAAGGAUUGGCCCGCGUUGGAUUAGCUAGUUGGUGGGGUAAAGGCCUACCAAGGCGACGAUCCAUAGCUGGUCUGAGAGGAUGAUCAGCCACAUUGGGACUGAGACACGGCCCAAACUCCUGCGGGAGGCAGCAGUGGGGAAUAUUGGACAAUGGGCGCAAGCCUGAUCCAGCCAUGCCGCGUGAGUGAUGAAGGCCUUAGGGUUGUAAAGCUCUUUCACCGAUGAAGAUAAUGACGGUAGUCGGAGAAGAAGCCCCGGCUAACUUCGU
RNAcentral lists this ribosomal RNA (430 nucleotides) under uncultured bacterium. RNAcentral's name for it is "partial 16S ribosomal RNA". It matches the Rfam family "Bacterial small subunit ribosomal RNA", at positions 29 to 506 of the family's 1533-position model. The record is from RNAcentral.